GUUAAAUUGUAAAACAGAGGAAUACAUUUAUUUCCAAAGGAAAGUAAACGUAGAAAGCAAUGGGAAUCUGCGUUACGUAUAAAAACUUCGAAGCUAGUAGCACAGCACGAUUGUGUGUUGCGCAUUUUACAGAAAAAGAUUAUUACGGGAAAAUCAAUUAUACAGGUUAUGAGCUCCUUGCAAAAUUUCUUAAAAAGACAGCUGUGCUAUCUGUGUUCUUCUUAACGAAGAUAAAACCAGAAAAUCCAGCUGCUGUGGCACAUCAACAACGUAUUGAACGAAGAAGUCAGUCGAGUAACAAAUGUAGAUAAUUCACAACCAUCAAGUAGCAAAGUUAACCUAAUAAGUGACAGAGACAAUUUACUGGAAGUUGAUCAUGAAGAAGCAGUCAAAACAGAAGACAACAGUGCAGUAGGAUGUACAUAUAUUAUGCAUGAAUUUAUAUCUAAGGGCACUCAAGUUGAUCAAGAACACAAAUAUGGGUUUAUGAAUAGAUAUAAAGAUGAUAAUGCCACUAUUAAGUUUUACACAGGUUUUGAAUCAUAUAAAAAUUUAAUUUAGUCUACUCAGCUCUUAGUCCAGUGGUUCACAAAAUAAAAUAUUAUGGCAGCAAUGUGAUUAUUCUUAGCAGUGAUUCUAAUUCUAAUUUAUUAGUUGGUGCAAUACCUGGUAGCUUGCUGUUAUAUUGUUCCCAAGCAUUUGCAGGAUUGAUAAGUGAUCAGUAGGCAGUGGAACAAAGUGACCUUUUAGCAAAAUGUGAAAGUGGUAGUAGUAUACUGACUGACAGAGGAUUUAUGAUACAAUAUAUAUUUCAUCAGACAAAAAUGUGACCAUUAGGAUUCCCAGUUUCUUAAAAGAAAAAUUUCAGUUGCCUGGUCUUAAUGUAAUAAAAGAUAGGGAGCUUGCAAACAAAGGAGUUCAUAUAGAAAGAAUAAUAGGAUUAACAAAGACAAACAAAAUGAAUUAGACCAUAACUAUAUCCCAAUAGUGAGCAAAAUCUUUUUUUAUGUUUUAUGUGCUAAACAUCUACAAUUUCAGGAAUUAUACUAUUACUAUAUUGUGAAAGAUAUUAGAUAAAAAGAUGUAAUUAUUUCAAUUUAUUUAUUAAUUGUAAAUAGUUCUUAUACACAUACUUAUUUACAUUUCUGGUUCUAAAUUAUGUACAUAAAAGUUUAACAAAUUUGUCAACAUGCCAUUAAUAAAUGAGUCAUCUCUA
Molecule: long non-coding RNA, 1216 nt
Filed under: Manduca sexta (tobacco hornworm)
Lineage: Eukaryota; Metazoa; Arthropoda; Insecta; Lepidoptera; Sphingidae
Description: uncharacterized LOC119188915
Source: RNAcentral